GAUGAACGCUGGCGGCGUGCCUAAUACAUGCAAGUCGAGCGAACGGACGAGAAGCUUGCUUCUCUGAUGUUAGCGGCGGACGGGUGAGUAACACGUGGAUAACCUACCUAUAAGACUGGGAUAACUUCGGGAAACCGGAGCUAAUACCGGAUAAUAUUUUGAACCGCAUGGUUCAAAAGUGAAAGACGGUCUUGCUGUCACUUAUAGAUGGAUCCGCGCUGCAUUAGCUGGUUGGUAAGGUAACGGCUUACCAAGGCAACGAUGCAUAGCCGACCUGAGAGGGUGAACGGCCACACUGGAACUGAGCCACGGUCCAGACUCCUACGGGAGGCAGCAGUAGGGAAUCUUCCGCGAUGGGCGAAAGCCUGACGGAGCAACGCCGCGUGAGUGAUGAAGGUCUUCGGAUCGUAAAACUCUGUUAUUAGGGAAGAACAUAUGUGUAAGUAACUGUGCACAUCUUGACGGUACCUAAUCAGAAAGCCACGGCUAACUACGUG
Molecule: ribosomal RNA, 497 nt
Filed under: uncultured bacterium
Lineage: Bacteria
Description: partial 16S ribosomal RNA
Rfam family: Bacterial small subunit ribosomal RNA
Source: RNAcentral